ACUAAAGUUACCUUUUCAAAUUAUUUUGCACAUUUAUUAUUUAUACUUUUGUACCGCAGUAUUCUCUAUAUUUUAUUUUAUUGUUCAUUUUCUCUUUUCUCGAUUUUUUUGUUGCUAUUAUAUGUAUUCUCUAUUCUGUAAACCCUAUUCUGACCCUCAUAGGUAAACUUCUAUUGUAUGAAUGGGAUAAACUGACCUUUCAAUUCUCAAGGCUAAAUAAGUAUUUCAUAGGUUAAAUACAAACUUACCUGUCAAGGUAGAAAUGUAAUCUGAGUGGUACCGGUCUUAUUCAAGUCACCAUAAACCUUAUACUUAAU
This 317-nucleotide long non-coding RNA is filed under the name Mytilus galloprovincialis (Mediterranean mussel). Lineage: Eukaryota; Metazoa; Mollusca; Bivalvia; Mytilida; Mytilidae. The record is from RNAcentral.